CGUCGGUGUCAUCAUUUUAGCUACUAUACUUCAAUUUGUAUUGACCAUUCUCAUUCUUUGUGCGUUCGAACUAAGUUUGUUCUAAAAUUGUAUAUGUUAUUACCAAAUAUAUCGAAAUAAGUUACAGUCGAAAUUUAAUACAAAUAAUUGAAAACCUUAUCUAUAUGACGCUGAUGACGGAAAAGAUGAAUUGCCUAUCUAUGUACCUUAAUUGUCUUCCAUUUCAUUAGAGUUGUUGUUGGGUUGUCGCGAACGUACAUUUUCAUUGUUCCUGUACUUGCUGAUCCAAGUUCGAAAGGAUUUAACAAACUCUACCCUUUGAUUUUCCAUUACAAAAAAAUACAGGAAGGGAUUGCAGCAUGAGUUUAUAAAAGUGAAAGCGUCUAACCAACUCCAUACAACAAAUUUUUCGUUAUCAGUUAAACUUUUGUUCACUGCUGAAUACACUCUGAGGAUGCAAGAGGGGAGGUAAGUUGCAUAGAACAAGCACAUAAUGGUAAAAGUUGUACGUACACUUUUCCUUAGAAAGAAAAAUCUCACUUGAGAUCUUCCUGAAAGUUUGGAAAUAUUUCUCGUUUGCUUUCUUGCUGUUUUCAGUACAAUACCAUAUAUUACAGAGAGUAGCCUACGACAAGCUGAGCGAAUGAUAUUACAGACAAAAACAACUCGUAGGCUUCAUAUUUGUCCAAGUUAAAGCUGAUACCAUGUAUGAUCCCAAGAACAAUGGCCGCUAUCCAUGAUAUCGCAAUCAAUGUCCAGGAGACAUUUGAUGUUAUGAGAAUAUUAUACCUCAAAGGCCAAAUGACAGCUAUGAAUCGGUCGAUUGCGAUACAUGUAAUGGCAUUGCCUGUUGAAAAAAUACACACGAUAAACAAGGACGUGUGGAUAUACAUAUAUUCAGUCGCCUCUCGUGAUAUGAUCAAAUGUGUGCGCCAAGGAAGAUACGUUGUUAAAGCGAUGAAGUCCGAUAUAGCUAAAUUUAGAAUCAUUUUAUCCGAGGCAGUGCGUCGUUUUCGGUGACGAGAAACAAGCAAAUAAAUAAUUACACAUAAAUUUGCUGUAGUUCCAACCAAUAUUUGUGAAGAAAUGAAAACUACCAACCAUGUUGAAUGUUGUGAAGUAAGAAGCUUCGUUUCUUCAGUCG
Non-coding RNA from Paramuricea clavata, 1144 nucleotides. NCBI's taxonomy places the organism in Eukaryota, Metazoa, Cnidaria, Anthozoa, Malacalcyonacea, Plexauridae. The record is from the annotation of a GenBank genome assembly.